This 640-nucleotide ribosomal RNA is filed under the name uncultured Actinomycetes bacterium. RNAcentral's name for it is "bacterial SSU rRNA". It matches the Rfam family "Bacterial small subunit ribosomal RNA", at positions 232 to 885 of the family's 1533-position model. The record is from RNAcentral. Lineage: Bacteria; Bacillati; Actinomycetota; Actinomycetes.
CGCGGCCUAUCAGCUUGUUGGUGAGGUAAUGGCUCACCAAGGCAUCGACGGGUAGCUGGUCUGAGAGGACGAUCAGCCACACUGGGACUGAGACACGGCCCAGACUCCUACGGGAGGCAGCAGUGGGGAAUCUUGCGCAGUGGGCGAAAGCCUGACGCAGCGAUGCCGCGUGGGGGAUGAAGGCUCUCGGGUCGUAAACCCCUUUCAGCAGGGACGAAAAUGACGGUACCUGCAGAAGAAGCCCCGGCCAACUACGUGCCAGCAGCCGCGGUAACACGUAGGGGCCAAACGUUGUCCGGAUUUAUUGGGCGUAAAGAGCUCGUAGGCGGCUCAACAAGUCGGUCGUGAAAACCUGAGGCUCAACCUCAGGACGCCGGUCGAAACUGUUGUGGCUAGGGUCCGGUAGAGGAGAGUGGAAUUCCCGGUGUAGCGGUGAAAUGCGCAGAUAUCGGGAGGAACACCAGUAGCGAAGGCGGCUCUCUGGGCCGGUACCGACGCUGAGGAGCGAAAGCUAGGGGAGCAAACAGGAUUAGAUACCCUGGUAGUCCUAGCCGUAAACGUUGGGCACUAGGUGUGGCGGACUCAUUGACGUCAGCCAUGCCGAAGCUAACGCAUUAAGUGCCCCGCCUGGGGAGUACGG